RNAcentral lists this ribosomal RNA (253 nucleotides) under uncultured bacterium. Its description in RNAcentral is "partial 16S ribosomal RNA". It matches the Rfam family "Bacterial small subunit ribosomal RNA", at positions 524 to 776 of the family's 1533-position model. The record is from RNAcentral.
UACGUAGGGUGCAAGCGUUGUCCGGAAUUAUUGGGCGUAAAGGGUGCGUAGGCGGCGCGGUAAGUCGGGUGUGAAAUCUUGGAGCUUAACUCCGAAACUGCAUUCGAUACUGCCGUGCUUGAGGACUGGAGAGGAGACUGGAAUUUACGGUGUAGCGGUGAAAUGCGUAGAUAUCGUAAGGAAGACCAGUGGCGAAGGCGGGUCUCUGGACAGUUCCUGACGCUGAGGCACGAAGGCCAGGGGAGCAAACGGG